GCCCAGACUCCUACGGGAGGCAGCAGUGGGGAAUAUUGCACAAUGGGGGAAACCCUGAUGCAGCGACGCCGCGCGAGCGAUGAAGUAUUUCGGUAUGUAAAGCUCUAUCAGCAGGGAAGAAAAUGACGGUACCUGACUAAGAAGCCCCGGCUAACUACGUGCCAGCAGCCGCGGUAAUACGUAGGGGGCAAGCGUUAUCCGGAUUUACUGGGUGUAAAGGGAGCGUAGACGGCGGUGCAAGUCUGAUGUGAAAGGCCGGGGCCCAACCCCGGGACUGCAUUGGAAACUGCGAGGCUGGAGUGUCGGAGAGGCAGGCGGAAUUCCUAGUGUAGCGGUGAAAUGCGUAGAUAUUAGGAGGAACACCAGUGGCGAAGGCGGCCUGCUGGACGAUGACUGACGCUGAGGCUCGAAAGCGUGGGGAGCAAACAGGAUUAGAUACCCUCGUAAG
RNAcentral lists this ribosomal RNA (448 nucleotides) under uncultured bacterium. Its description in RNAcentral is "partial 16S ribosomal RNA". It matches the Rfam family "Bacterial small subunit ribosomal RNA", at positions 329 to 793 of the family's 1533-position model. The record is from RNAcentral.